GAUCAGUGGCGAACGGGUGAGUAACACGUGAGCAACCUGCCCUGGACUCUGGGAUAAGCGCUGGAAACGGUGUCUAAUACUGGAUAUGAGCCUCUAUCGCAUGGUGGGGGUUGGAAAGAUUUUUCGGUCUGGGAUGGGCUCGCGGCCUAUCAGCUUGUUGGUGAGGUAAUGGCUCACCAAGGCGUCGACGGGUAGCCGGCCUGAGAGGGUGACCGGCCACACUGGGACUGAGACACGGCCCAGACUCCUACGGGAGGCAGCAGUGGGGAAUAUUGCACAAUGGGCGGAAGCCUGAUGCAGCAACGCCGCGUGAGGGAUGACGGCCUUCGGGUUGUAAACCUCUUUUAGCAGGGAAGAAGCGAAAGUGACGGUACCUGCAGAAAAAGCGCCGGCUAACUACGUGCCAGCAGCCGCGGUAAUACGUAGGGCGCAAGCGUUAUCCGGAAUUAUUGGGCGUAAAGAGCUCGUAGGCGGUUUGUCGCGUCUGCUGUGAAAUCCCGAGGCUCAACCUCGGGUCUGCAGUGGGUACGGGCAGACUAGAGUGCGGUAGGGGAGAUUGGAAUUCCUGGUGUAGCGGUGGAAUGCGCAGAUAUCAGGAGGAACACCGAUGGCGAAGGCAGAUCUCUGGGCCGUAACUGACGCUGAGGAGCGAAA
RNAcentral lists this ribosomal RNA (654 nucleotides) under Microbacterium sp. RNAcentral describes it as "bacterial SSU rRNA". It matches the Rfam family "Bacterial small subunit ribosomal RNA", at positions 90 to 758 of the family's 1533-position model. Lineage: Bacteria; Bacillati; Actinomycetota; Actinomycetes; Micrococcales; Microbacteriaceae. The record is from RNAcentral.